RNAcentral lists this ribosomal RNA (497 nucleotides) under uncultured bacterium. RNAcentral describes it as "partial 16S ribosomal RNA". It matches the Rfam family "Bacterial small subunit ribosomal RNA", at positions 28 to 507 of the family's 1533-position model. The record is from RNAcentral.
GAUGAACGCUGGCGGCGUGCCUAAUACAUGCAAGUCGAGCGAACGGACGAGAAGCUUGCUUCUCUGAUGUUAGCGGCGGACGGGUGAGUAACACGUGGAUAACCUACCUAUAAGACUGGGAUAACUUCGGGAAACCGGAGCUAAUACCGGAUAAUAUUUUGAACCGCAUGGUUCAAAAGUGAAAGACGGUCUUGCUGUCACUUAUAGAUGGAUCCGCGCUGCAUUAGCUAGUUGGUAAGGUAACGGCUUACCAAGGCAACGAUGCAUAGCCGACCUGAGAGGGUGAUCGGCCACACUGGAAGUGAGACACGGUCCAGACGCCUAAGAGAGGCAGCAGUAGGGAAUCUUCCGCAAUGGGCGAAAGCCUGACGGAGCAACGCCGCGUGAGUGAUGAAGGUCUUCGGAUCGUAAAACUCUGUUAUUAGGGAAGAACAUAUGUGUAAGUAACUGUGCACAUCUUGACGGUACCUAAUCAGAAAGCCACGGCUAACUACGUG